UACGUAGGGUGCAAGCGUUAAUCGGAAUUACUGGGCGUAAAGCGUGCGCAGGCGGCUUUGCAAGACAGAUGUGAAAUCCCCGGGCUUAACCUGGGAACUGCAUUUGUGACUGCAUGGCUAGAGUGCGGCAGAGGGGGAUGGAAUUCCGCGUGUAGCAGUGAAAUGCGCAGAUAUCAGGAGGAACACCGGUGGCGAAGGCGGAUCUCUGGGCCUUACCUGACGCUGAGGCGCGAAAGCUAGGGGAGCGAACAGG
Molecule: ribosomal RNA, 253 nt
Filed under: uncultured bacterium
Lineage: Bacteria
Description: partial 16S ribosomal RNA
Rfam family: Bacterial small subunit ribosomal RNA
Source: RNAcentral